This 1343-nucleotide ribosomal RNA is filed under the name uncultured bacterium. RNAcentral's name for it is "16S ribosomal RNA". It matches the Rfam family "Bacterial small subunit ribosomal RNA", at positions 28 to 1378 of the family's 1533-position model. The record is from RNAcentral.
GACGAACGCUGGCGGCGUGCUUAACACAUGCAAGUCGAACGGAAAGGCCCUGCUUUUGUGGGGUGCUCGAGUGGCGAACGGGUGAGUAACACGUGAGUAACCUGCCCUUGACUUUGGGAUAACUUCAGGAAACUGGGGCUAAUACCGGAUAGGAGCUCCUGCUGCAUGGUGGGGGUUGGAAAGUUUCGGCGGUUGGGGAUGGACUCGCGGCUUAUCAGCUUGUUGGUGGGGUAGUGGCUUACCAAGGCUUUGACGGGUAGCCGGCCUGAGAGGGUGACCGGCCACAUUGGGACUGAGAUACGGCCCAGACUCCUACGGGAGGCAGCAGUGGGGAAUAUUGCACAAUGGGCGGAAGCCUGAUGCAGCAACGCCGCGUGCGGGAUGACGGCCUUCGGGUUGUAAACCGCUUUCGCCUGUGACGAAGCGUGAGUGACGGUAAUGGGUAAAGAAGCACCGGCUAACUACGUGCCAGCAGCCGCGGUGAUACGUAGGGUGCGAGCGUUGUCCGGAUUUAUUGGGCGUAAAGGGCUCGUAGGUGGUUGAUCGCGUCGGAAGUGUAAUCUUGGGGCUUAACCCUGAGCGUGCUUUCGAUACGGGUUGACUUGAGGAAGGUAGGGGAGAAUGGAAUUCCUGGUGGAGCGGUGGAAUGCGCAGAUAUCAGGAGGAACACCAGUGGCGAAGGCGGUUCUCUGGGCCUUUCCUGACGCUGAGGAGCGAAAGCGUGGGGAGCGAACAGGCUUAGAUACCCUGGUAGUCCACGCUGUAAACGGUGGGUACUAGGUGUGGGGUCCAUUCCACGGGUUCCGUGCCGUAGCUAACGCUUUAAGUACCCCGCCUGGGGAGUACGGCCGCAAGGCUAAAACUCAAAGGAAUUGACGGGGCCCCGCACAAGCGGCGGAGCAUGCGGAUUAAUUCGAUGCAACGCGUAGAACCUUACCUGGGUUUGACAUGGAUCGGGAGUGCUCAGAGAUGGGUGUGCCUCUUUUGGGGUCGGUUCACAGGUGGUGCAUGGCUGUCGUCAGCUCGUGUCGUGAGAUGUUGGGUUAAGUCCCGCAACGAGCGCAACCCUUGUUCACUGUUGCCGGCACGUUAUGGUGGGGACUCAGUGGAGACCGCCGGGGUCAACUCGGAGGAAGGUGGGGAUGACGCCAAGUCAUCAUGCCCCUUAUGUCCAGGGCUUCACGCAUGCUACAAUGGCUGGUACAGAGAGUGGCGAGCCUGUGAGGGUGAGCGAAUCUCGGGAAGCCGGUCUCAGUUCGGAUUGGGGUCUGCAACUCGACCUCAUGAAGUCGGAGUCGCUAGUAAUCGCAGAUCAGCAACGCUGCGGUGAAUACGUUCCCGGG